AUCAAUGCUGUAAAAGCUGCAGUGGUUGCUAAGAGAAAAUGAUACUUUGUUCCCAUAGGAACCAUUGUUUUAAAAUGAGAAAUAUAGAUUCUUUAGCUUCAAAGGCUAGAACUUACGUUUGAGAUGGGAAGUAUUUCACCCUCUCCGAAAAAAAAUUGUGGAAAAUCACUAUCCUCAGAUUGGAAAGAUAUGGUUAUGUGGUUGCAAUCUCCCACAUGGGUGAAAAAUGCUGUAGAUGACUUUGGUUUUGUGGUGCUAAGCAGUCUACCACUGAGCCAUGCUCUCAGCCCUCAAGGUGACAAUUUCAUUUCUCUCUCUGCCUUCCUGGUAUUGAUGGCAAUGCAUAGUGAUGCUUGAUAGGAGAGUGAGGGAAGGUGAAACUAACCAUUCUUAGAGCAGAGUUGUUAGGAAAGGCAAACUUACACUUUCCACUUGAUAAUGUCUAAGCUGGUAGUUUGGUUUUAUUGUUAGGGAAAGGAACAAAGGAAAGGCAGUAUUUGCUCCAAAUUACUCUGGAGCAUUUAAAUACCAGCAUAACUUUUCAAUCUAAAGUUAAAGGGAGGUAAUGAUGAUUUGGAGUUUGUGGGGGGAAAUUAUCUGCUUACUUCUGAUCAGAAGCCAAGGACCAAAAUAGGGUGCAAUUGAUCACAACAGUAGUUAUAAACUCAGUGGCAGUCAAAGACAGUUCCUGGAUGGGACUAUUCCCUGAACCCCACUUUGAAUAACAUGAUUCUGUAUUGUCCAUGGCCAGUGGGACUGACUGUUCCGCCUUCCCUAUGUUUGUUCUCUGUGUCUCACAAAAAUGACUUGAAGCAGUCAGAGAAAUGCAAAUCAAAACCACCCUAAGAUACCAUCUCA
Molecule: long non-coding RNA, 858 nt
Filed under: Marmota monax (woodchuck)
Lineage: Eukaryota; Metazoa; Chordata; Mammalia; Rodentia; Sciuridae
Source: RNAcentral